Molecule: ribosomal RNA, 2160 nt
Filed under: Triticum aestivum (bread wheat)
Lineage: Eukaryota; Viridiplantae; Streptophyta; Magnoliopsida; Poales; Poaceae
Description: partial small subunit ribosomal RNA
Source: RNAcentral
GGGUAGGGGAGGGGGGAGGGGACUUAGAGCUCGAUCAUUUGGGAUCUUAAGGGGGAGGGGGCGGGGCGAGCUACGCGACUGGGCUUAGGGUCGUUCUAAACGUAAACGUAAACGAUACGGUAAACCCUCAAAGAGUAUCUUGUUCGGUCCAAUGUAUUCUACUCGUGUCCUAAGUCGCGUCUCUAGAAACGCGUCUUCGAAAGCUUCGAAUUAUAACGUGUUGUCUCAUAUCUCUGAAAUAGCGUGACCACGUAGAAGGUAGUAGCAACAACGGUCCUUCAACAACUGUAUACCUUAUUUCUAAAAGUGAGUCGAGGAGUUCUCUCUUUCUAUAGAAACGACAUGGAACGUUUACUAUAAUACGUCUUAUCAUUCUUCCUACCGUACUCUAUAUAUGUACUCAAGAACUUCCAGUAGCGACGACGGAAUCUACUGGACAAGUGGUUGCCACUACUAAAACCUGCUUUACAACAUUUUUCUGACCAACUGUAUACCCUUCUAGCGUUCAACAAACCGUGGGUUCCUGUUGAGGAUUUCCUUCUUAUGUGGGCGUUCAAAUUCCUCGAUUUCAGCUUUUUUGGUCCACCUCUCGACCACCUCUUCCAAUAUAGCUCGAUGUUCGUAUACGACGCCCGUGGACAUCUACUCCGGUUCAACUACUCUCUUACGUUGUCACGAGAUUCGAAACAACUGUUGGACUUGUUUCUCAUACCUUUAAGCAUGAAUCCCUCGUCGUUACCUAUAUCGAAACACCUCCUCGACUUCCUUGUUGUAUCAUAAGACUCUUUGUGGUAACUUGUUAAGUUUUACAGACUUAGUGAGUCCCGGUGAGACCAUAGACUAAACUUCCUUCGUGAGGUACUCGUCCUCAAGUUCUGUCUCCGUCGAGUCCAGUCUAUAUCCUUUCGACUACUGAAGACGGUCUUCGAGCCUUAUCUACAUGGUUCCGUGCUCGGUAGAUUACCCCAACUCUUGAGGUCAGAGAGACUUCACGGACGAUGAAAAGGGGGUCAAAGUCGAUUACGAUUAAGACAGCUCUUCCCUGCUAGCUGACGUCACUACAUAAGUGCCCUUCCUCUACCUCCACUCGGACUCUGGGAGUUGCCGCCAAAAAGAAGUGCUCGGUGGUCCCCGUUGAAACUCGUCUUUUAUCUUCCCGUGGGAGGACCAUGAUUCUCCGUCUUCUAUCUCUUACCAUAUAGACAGGGAGUCGGACUUCGUGGGGGUGGGGGUGGCGGUGGGGGUGAGGGCAUAGGACUAUGUAAACUUGUCGGUGGUGGUGGCGGAGUCAUAGGAGGUAGUGGUCUCAGAUCGGGUGGUGGUGAAGGUGGAAGUUACGGCGGGGGUUAGGGUGGUGGUGGUGGUGGUGGUGGAAGAUGUCUACGUAAAUACGGUCAAGGACGAGAAGGUUACCCUCCUUACGGUAUAAAGGGUGGCAAAGGAGGUGGACAUUUGAUAGGGUACUAGUUGUACGGUGGCGGAAAGGGACCACGGGGUUUGGGAGGAGUGGGUCCAAAGGAACCUAAACCCCCAGGGAAGAUACCGGGCGGAAAGGGGAGCCGUGGGGUAGUUACUUGUCCUUUACUCUCAUCAAGCGAAUAGACGUCUAAUCAUCGCGGUCAGUCGGUCGUAUACUUUAGCUCCAUGUACCUCGAAACCUUUUGAACAGUAUCCAAAGCAAAGUAGGAGUUUCCUAUAUACCAAGCACUACUAAGUAGUGACAAUACACAACACCUCGAACCUUCCGACAGGGUCACAACAUGUAAAAUCAGUCAAUCGGACUAUAAUCGAACGCGUCUGUAAAUCAGUUCAACUGACUAGAUCAACAAGGGUCGAACCGGUACCUCAGUUUUGAUAUCUAAAGCUGUACAAACCUAAGACAACGAGACAGCCGGUCUGACUCGAGACUUUAGCACUGUCAGUUUCUGUCUAAGACAGACCGUACUGAACAACCAUUGAGCAAUAAUGGACAUAAGAGACCCUUUAACGACGCUGUCUUUUUAUGUAUCGACAAGAACACUACAAACCACGUCGGCACGUCCAUUAAGGUCACGAAAAAAAAACUCUUUCCAUUAAGAUCACGAAAUCGGAUGGGGUUGAACAAACCCUGAUUUCCGAAACAACAACAUUAAGAUCACGAACUACACUCUCCAUGAGACG